CAAUAAGAGUGUUUAUGGCACUCUUCAAAAAAAUCCAUACCCACCUUGUGUGCAAUGUAAAAAAGGAAGCAACAGGAAAGAGGGUCCCUUGGUGACAAGGGCCUGUUUUCAGCGCUUUCUUUUUCUUUAUAUACACCUUUCUAUAAGUUCCUAUUGUCUGAAGCUGUUAGAGAAUGACUAAUUCUUAAACA
RNAcentral lists this unclassified non-coding RNA (191 nucleotides) under uncultured Mortierella. RNAcentral's name for it is "sequence contains ITS1". Lineage: Eukaryota; Fungi; Mortierellomycota; Mortierellomycetes; Mortierellales; Mortierellaceae. The record is from RNAcentral.